UGUGGGAGGGGGCUUGCUCCCGAUAGCGGCAGUUCAGUCAGCACAUCGGGUACUGACACACCGCUAUCGGGAGCAAGCCCCCUCCCACA
RNAcentral lists this unclassified non-coding RNA (89 nucleotides) under Pseudomonas synxantha. Lineage: Bacteria; Pseudomonadati; Pseudomonadota; Gammaproteobacteria; Pseudomonadales; Pseudomonadaceae. The record is from RNAcentral.